UACGUAGGGGGCAAGCGUUGUCCGGAUUUAUUGGGCGUAAAGAGCGUGUAGGCGGCCAAGCAGGUCAGCUGUGAAAACUCGAGGCUCAACCUCGAGACGUCGGUUGAAACCGCUUGGCUAGAGUCCGGAAGAGGAGAGUGGAAUUCCCGGUGUAGCGGUGAAAUGCGCAGAUAUCGGGAAGAACACCCGUGGCGAAGGCGGCUCUCUGGGACGGUACUGACGCUGAGACGCGAAAGCGUGGGGAGCGAACAGG
RNAcentral lists this ribosomal RNA (253 nucleotides) under uncultured bacterium. RNAcentral describes it as "partial 16S ribosomal RNA". It matches the Rfam family "Bacterial small subunit ribosomal RNA", at positions 524 to 776 of the family's 1533-position model. The record is from RNAcentral. RNAcentral also lists the same sequence under 1 other name.